Long non-coding RNA from Triticum aestivum (bread wheat), 306 nucleotides. RefSeq lists it as uncharacterized. Lineage: Eukaryota; Viridiplantae; Streptophyta; Magnoliopsida; Poales; Poaceae. The record is from RefSeq and is a predicted model, not a curated record. The transcript is spliced from 3 exons.
GGGCAGGGCACCAUGGUGCUAUCUGAUCCCCUGCCUUGCUUCCGCCGGAUGCGGGCUCUCUCCACUCCUCAUGCAUCCGCCGUGUUGGUCCAAGCAGAGGACGAAGUCCAGCCCUUGCCAACAAGCUCAUAAUGAUUUCAGAAGUACGGUCUAAUGGAAGGGUGGAGGAAGAUUUUUGAAAUGGCAAAGUCGUCAGCAAGGACAUGAGACAAGAGGUCUGACCGAACUACGUCAGUCAACUACGUCAGGUGCACCUUGACCUUCUGCCUGAGCAGAUGAACUAGCCACUGCCCUGGAUGUUGUGUC